GACGUUACCUACAGAAGAAGCACCGGCUAACUCCGUGCCAGCAGCCGCGGUAAUACGGAGGGUGCGAGCGUUAAUCGGAAUUACUGGGCGUAAAGCGCAUGCAGGCGGCCUGUUAAGUCAGAUGUGAAAGACCCGGGGCGUUAACCUCGGAAUUGCAUUUGAAACUAGGCAGGCUAGAGUCUUGUAGAGGGGGGUAGGAAGUUUCAGGUGUAGCGGUGAAAUGCGUAGAGAUCUGAAGGAAUACCAGUGGCGAAGGCGGCCCCCUGGACAAAGACUGACGCUCAGAUGCGAAAGCGUGGGGAGCAAACAGGAUUAGAUACCCUGGUAG
RNAcentral lists this ribosomal RNA (328 nucleotides) under uncultured bacterium. Its description in RNAcentral is "bacterial SSU rRNA". It matches the Rfam family "Bacterial small subunit ribosomal RNA", at positions 471 to 793 of the family's 1533-position model. The record is from RNAcentral.